RNAcentral lists this ribosomal RNA (254 nucleotides) under uncultured bacterium. RNAcentral describes it as "partial 16S ribosomal RNA". It matches the Rfam family "Bacterial small subunit ribosomal RNA", at positions 524 to 776 of the family's 1533-position model. The record is from RNAcentral.
UACGUAGGGUGCGAGCGUUAAUCGGAAUUAUUGGGCGUAAAGAGCUCGUAGGCGGUGUGUCGCGUCGGCCGUGAAAACCUGCAGCUUAACUGUGGGCUUGCGGUCGAUACGGGCAUCACUGGAGUUCGGCAGGGGAGACUGGAAUUCCUGGUGUAGCGGUGAAAUGCGCAGAUAUCAGGAGGAACACCGGUGGCGAAGGCGGAUCUCUGGGCCGAUACUGACGCUGAGGAGCGAAAGCGUGGGGAGCGAACAGG